GCUGCUUUAACAGGAAGAAUCAGACAAGACCAUUGCAACGGUCGACUUUUCUCAUUCCUCUCCAUCUCCGAAGAUCAGAAACCGAGAAAAGCAAGAGAUAUCUCCAACUCCAGAUGACGUCGCGGAAGAAAUUGGAUCAUUGACAGACCGCUCUGGCAGUUGAAAAGCGAAGCAAAAUGUUGGCUGCUAAGCCCAACUUUGGCAUAGGACAGAAUCGGGCAAGUGGUCCGGAACCGCAAUUCUUGGUUCUUCUGCUGGUUUCAAGUUUGUGGUGGUUUAUUAAUUUCUGACAUCGUUUUCCCAUUUUUUAAGCAGUUAAUGUCCCAAGUUUUUAAGGUUUAUACAGAAAGUGACACUGCUAAAGCUUAUGCCGGGAGCAGGACUUACGCAGCAGUUAACGAAGUAUGGACUCAGGAGAACACAGCUGCUUUAAUGGUCAUGUUAUGUGGGCUUGUCGGCAUCCCACUUCCAAUGGAGUAAUCCCACAAUCUCCUAUGCAUACAAAAAGCUUAGCUACUCUAAAGCAUCAGCUUUUGCGGAAUAAGCUUGCAUCAACAGCUCGAAGUAGUAUACGCAAAAAUCAAGUUUGAGUGAAUUAUAUCAGAGCAUGAAAGUGCAUACAACGGAAUGCAGACUCCACUAGUCUACCAACUUCCAUCUGCUUUGGUAAAUCGAGGAGAUCCUUCCUGGUAAGAAUGUUAAAUCCUAGCAUGCUAUUUCCUUGUAACUCUCCUAUUUACAUGAUUGUGUAGUAUGUUGUUUUUGUGAA
Molecule: non-coding RNA, 769 nt
Organism: Malus domestica (apple)
Lineage: Eukaryota; Viridiplantae; Streptophyta; Magnoliopsida; Rosales; Rosaceae
Source: RefSeq, a predicted model, not a curated record